CAGUACGUUUCCGAGCACAAUUCAAAGUGUUGGUGCUGACCUUUAAAGCCCUAAACAGCCUCGGUCCAGUAUAUCUGAAGGAGCAUCUUCACCCGCAUUGUUCUACCCAGACACUGAGGUCCAACUCCGAGGGCCUUCUGGCGGUUCCCUCACUGCGAGAAGCCAAGUUACAGAGAACCAGGCAGAGGGCCUUCUAGGUAGUGGCACCCGCCCUGUGGAACUUCCUCCCACCAGAUGUCAAAGAGAACAACAACUAACAGACUUUUAGACAACAUCUGAAGGUAGCCCUGUUUAGGGAAGCUUUUAAUGUUUGAUGCAUUACUGUAUUUUAAUAUUAUGUUGGAAGCCACCCAGAGUGGCUGGGGAAACCCAGCCAGAUGGGCGGCCGGGAUAUAAAUAAUAAAUAAAUAAUAAAUUUAUUAUUAUUAUUAUUAUUAUUAUUAUUAUUAUUAUUAUAUCAUCCUCUGAGGACUCUGUGUCUAGCGCCAGGCCAAGGCUAUGCUGGUCAAGGGAUGAGAUCCAGCUGCACUUAGCUCAGGGGCAGAGCACCUCCUCUGCGUACAGAAAGCCCCAGGCUCCAUCUCUGAGGCCUCCCGUUAGGGUUGGGAAAGACCCCUGUGUGAAACACUAGAAAACUGCUGCCAGCCAGUGUAGACAGUACUGAGCUAGAUGGACCAAAGUCUGACUCAGUGCAAUGCAGAUUCCUAUCUCCCCUCCCCCGCCCCCCGAGAACAGAACUAUCAACGGUUUCUAGCCACAAUGCCUAAGGAUGGAAACCUCCCUCUUCAGGGGACAUUGCACCUCAAAUUACAAGACUUCGCAUGUGAAGUCCAAUGACUUCUGGAGGGCACUAGGUUCCGAUCCUGAAGUAGGCUUCGGCCUACUCCAGAAACGCAAUUGUUCCGUCCCGUUGUUAAGUUUCUUCUGCCUCAUUGUUCUUCUCUACUUUUCACCUUGAGAGAGAAGGGAGAAAGAAAGGGAAAAAAAUCUCUUUCCCAGUAUCACAGCUCAUUCGAUAGACGUCCUACGGCAGCAGAGAGGCCCCGUCUCUUGUGAGGAAGAGCAGUUAGCGUUGGCGACAUUAAUUUCCCCUCAGCGUCUCCCGAACGGCCCGAGUUGCUAAGUAGGGUUGCGAUAAGGGAAAGCCGGCUCGCCUGGCCGCUUUAUAGAUAAGCGCCGUUCUGUAUAAAAACUGCCGCUAUGGAAUUUUUGUUUCUAAAUGAAAGGGGGAAAUGAAAAAAAGCACCCAGCUCAUGACAGAGUUCGAGAGAGCAACCGACGGGAAAAAAGAGGAUUAAGCUAUUGAUACAAGAGCAACGCUGCUUCAAAAUGUGGGAAGGAGAGGGAAAUGUCAUGGCUGUACUACCGGAGUGAGCCAACCGUCAGGAGGCUGGAAGGGCUGAGCUCACAUUUUGCCUUCACUGUAGAAUCAUAGAAUUGUAAAGUCAGAAGGGACCCAAAGGGGCAUCUAGUCCAACCCCCUGCAAUGAAGGAACCACAGCUGCAGACUCUCUGACAGGUGGCCAUCUGACCUCCGUUUAAAAACCUUCAAUGAAGGAGAGCCCGCCACCUUCCAACCUAGUCUGUUCCACUGUCAAGCAGCUCUCACCUCCUUAAAGUUCUCCCUAAAGUUUAGUCAUUUGAAUCUUUGUUUGGGUCCUACCCUCUGGAGCAGGAGAAAACAAGCUUGCUGUGUCUACAGAUAUUUGAAUGUGGCUGUCACACCACCUCUCAUUCUUCUCUUCUCCAGGCUAAACAUACCCAGCUCCCUCAAUCAAGAGUUUCCAAACUCUUGAUCAUCUUGAUCGCUGUCCUCUGCACAUGUUCCAGCUCACCAAAAUCCUCCUUAAACUGUGGUGUCCAGAAUUCCUCCCUAUCUGCUAUUUGACAAAGGGACAAUUUAACAGGCUUUGAAGGACACUCAGCAUGGCUUCAAUACUGGAAGGAGAAGUCUAACCAAUCCACCCUGAUCAUAGUGGACGGAGGACAUGGCUCAACUGGCGGUUCAGGAGGAGGUGACCACCUGCUAACAAAAGAAAGAUCGGAAUUUGUCUGUUAUAUGUACUCUUUUUGCAGAUCUGUUUGCUUGGAUGUCUGAGCACUUGCUUGGUCUGGACCACCAGCCAUUUCCCUUCUUCUUCCCCAUCUCUUCCUCACCACAGCUGUCAACUUUUCCCUUUUCUUGCAAGGAAUCCUAUUCAGAAUAAGGGAAUUUCCCUUUUAAAAAGGGAACAGUUGACAGCUAUGCUCCUCACUUGCAAACAUAGAACAUGCUGUCUUGAUUCAUUAACACUUAGAUUGUAUUGCUUGACUGUAUUUGUUUCUUUUGGGAAAAUUCAAUAAAAAAUUAUGAAUAACAAGAAAGAAAGGAAGGAAGGAAGGAAGGAAGGAAGGAAGGAAGGAAGGGAGAGGAUGGGAUGACAACCAGGAAGCCAUGACGGAAAAGGCCCUCAGCACCAAAGUCAGAGAGCUGGAUAAGACCCCAUGAGGACGAUACUAACAAUUUGAAAGUUCAUACGGGUGAAGGUGGUCUUAUUGGUAAGUGCAGUCCCAAGCUGCAUGAAGCUUUGAAGUGGAAUAAUGACUAGGAAUCAAAGCUGUGCUUGAAAACUGAUUGUGAGCUUUGGGGACACUGAGAAGGUAGCCAAGUACCUGUUGAAGAUUCAUUCCCCGUGUCUGCAGUCAUGGGAUUGUUGUCUAUCACAUGAUGGUG
RNAcentral lists this long non-coding RNA (2713 nucleotides) under Podarcis lilfordi (Lilford's wall lizard). Lineage: Eukaryota; Metazoa; Chordata; Lepidosauria; Squamata; Lacertidae. The record is from RNAcentral.